This is a long non-coding RNA of Alosa alosa (allis shad), 574 nucleotides long. RefSeq lists it as uncharacterized. The record is from RefSeq and is a predicted model, not a curated record. The transcript is spliced from 4 exons. Lineage: Eukaryota; Metazoa; Chordata; Actinopteri; Clupeiformes; Clupeidae.
UGCUGGGGAAUGUCAACACGGCAGGUUUCCCUUCGAUAAGGCAUCGUGUGGAGGUGGCAGAUAGGAUCGUGGGGAUCAGCUGUUGUCUCGCAGGGCCAUUUUCAGGAACUCAAGCCAUGCUGUCCCUAUCUGGACACAGAGAUGUAACAACGCAAGUUAUUUUCAACACAAGGAGUGCCUGUCUGGACACACAUUCGUUUUACAAGAGGGAGUGGAGUUUCCUGCAGAACAUCCCCUCCCUUUAGAAUCCUGCUGUCUGGCUGCCCGGUGUUUAUGUCCAGACUCUCACUCAUCAGUGUCAGGAUGGUCAACAUGAAUCCUUCCCUUGUGUCUGUUCCUCUGUCAGCUAGAGCAGCUCUUCCUUCCUGACCAGUGUUUCAGCUGGUUAAUGGCCAGGGCGAGGGCCAGUGUUUCAGCUGGUUAAUGGCCAGGGCGAGGCUCUAUGUAUUUGACCCCUGUGCUCUCUUUCCUGGACAAGCUGUAUGAAGAGAGGAAGAGGGAGGCCAGAGUGCUGAAGGGGUCCAGGAGGGACCAGACACACACACACACACACACACACACACACACACACACA